Molecule: ribosomal RNA, 461 nt
Filed under: uncultured bacterium
Lineage: Bacteria
Description: SSU rRNA
Rfam family: Bacterial small subunit ribosomal RNA
Source: RNAcentral
AGAAUCAACGCUGGCGGCGUGCCUAACACAUGCAAGUCGAACGAGAAAGUGGAGCAAUCCAUGAGUAAAGUGGCGACCGGGUGAGUAACACGUGACUAACCUACCUUCGAGUGGGGGAUAACCUCGGGAAACCGAGGCUAAUACCGCAUAACAUCGUGAGAUCAAAGCAGUAAUGCGCUGGAAGAGGGGGUCGCGGCUGAUUAGUUAGUUGGCGGGGUAAUGGCCCACCAAGACAGUGAUCGGUAUCCGGCCUGAGAGGGCGCGACGGACGACGACUGGAACUGAAACACGGUCCAGACUCCUACGGGAGGCAGCAGUGGGGAAUUUUGCGCAAUGGGGGAAACCCUGACGCAGCAACGCCGCGUGGAGGAUGAAGUACUUCGGUACGUAAACUCCUUUCGAUCGGGACGAUAAUGACGGUACCGGAAGAAGAAGCCCGGCUAACUCGUGCCAGCAGCCGC